CCUACGGGUGGCUGCAGUGGGGAAUAUUGCACAAUGGGCGCAAGCCUGAUGCAGCCAUGCCGCGUGUGUGAAGACGGCCUUCGGGUUGUAAAGCACUUUCAGCGGGGAGGAAGGCGUUAAGGUUAAUAACCUUGGCGAUUGACGUUACCCGCAGAAGAAGCACCGGCUAACUCCGUGCCAGCAGCCGCGGUAAUACGGAGGGUGCAAGCGUUAAUCGGAAUUACUGGGCGUAAAGCGCACGCAGGCGGUCUGUCAAGUCGGAUGUGAAAUCCCCGGGCUCAACCUGGGAACUGCAUUCGAAACUGGCAGGCUAGAGUCUUGUAGAGGGGGGUAGAAUUCCAGGUGUAGCGGUGAAAUGCGUAGAGAUCUGGAGGAAUACCGGUGGCGAAGGCGGCCCCCUGGACAAAGACUGACGCUCAGGUGCGAAAGCGUGGGGAGCAAACAGGAUUAAAUACCCCAGUAGUC
Molecule: ribosomal RNA, 465 nt
Filed under: uncultured Klebsiella sp.
Lineage: Bacteria; Pseudomonadati; Pseudomonadota; Gammaproteobacteria; Enterobacterales; Enterobacteriaceae
Description: bacterial SSU rRNA
Rfam family: Bacterial small subunit ribosomal RNA
Source: RNAcentral